GAUGAACGCUGGCGGCGUGCCUAAUACAUGCAAGUCGAGCGAACGGACGAGAAGCUUGCUUCUCUGAUGUUAGCGGCGGACGGGUGAGUAACACGUGGAUAACCUACCUAUAAGACUGGGAUAACUUCGGGAAACCGGAGCUAAUACCGGAUAAUAUUUUGAACCGCAUGGUUCAAAAGUGAAAGACGGUCUUGCUGUCACUUAUAGAUGGAUCCGCGCUGCAUUAGCUAGUUGGUAAGGUAACGGCUUACCAAGGCAACGAUGCUUAGCCGACCUGAGAGUGUGCGCGGCCACACUGGAACUGAGACACGGUCCAGACUCCUACGGGAGCGAGCAGUAGGGAGUCUUGCGCAAGGGGCGAAAGCUUGACGGAGCAACGCCGCGCGAGUGAUGAAGGUCUUCGGAUCGUAAAACUCUGUUAUUAGGGAAGAACAUAUGUGUACGUAACUGUUCACAUCUUGACGGUACCUAAUCAGAAAGCCACGGCUAACUACGUG
RNAcentral lists this ribosomal RNA (497 nucleotides) under uncultured bacterium. RNAcentral describes it as "partial 16S ribosomal RNA". It matches the Rfam family "Bacterial small subunit ribosomal RNA", at positions 28 to 507 of the family's 1533-position model. The record is from RNAcentral.